RNAcentral lists this ribosomal RNA (829 nucleotides) under Microbacterium sp. MOLA 1564. RNAcentral describes it as "bacterial SSU rRNA". It matches the Rfam family "Bacterial small subunit ribosomal RNA", at positions 25 to 862 of the family's 1533-position model. The record is from RNAcentral. RNAcentral also lists the same sequence under 2 other names. Lineage: Bacteria; Bacillati; Actinomycetota; Actinomycetes; Micrococcales; Microbacteriaceae.
CAGGAUGAACGCUGGCGGCGUGCUUAACACAUGCAAGUCGAACGGUGAAGCAGGAGCUUGCUCUUGUGGAUCAGUGGCGAACGGGUGAGUAACACGUGAGCAACCUGCCCCUGACUCUGGGAUAAGCGCUGGAAACGGCGUCUAAUACUGGAUACGAACCGCAGCCGCAUGGCUAGUGGUUGGAAAGAUUUUUCGGUCUGGGAUGGGCUCACGGCCUAUCAGCUUGUUGGUGAGGUAAUGGCUCACCAAGGCGUCGACGGGUAGCCGGCCUGAGAGGGUGACCGGCCACACUGGGACUGAGACACGGCCCAGACUCCUACGGGAGGCAGCAGUGGGGAAUAUUGCACAAUGGGCGAAAGCCUGAUGCAGCAACGCCGCGUGAGGGAUGACGGCCUUCGGGUUGUAAACCUCUUUUAGCAGGGAAGAAGCGAAAGUGACGGUACCUGCAGAAAAAGCGCCGGCUAACUACGUGCCAGCAGCCGCGGUAAUACGUAGGGCGCAAGCGUUAUCCGGAAUUAUUGGGCGUAAAGAGCUCGUAGGCGGUUUGUCGCGUCUGCUGUGAAAUCCCGAGGCUCAACCUCGGACCUGCAGUGGGUACGGGCAGACUAGAGUGCGGUAGGGGAGAUUGGAAUUCCUGGUGUAGCGGUGGAAUGCGCAGAUAUCAGGAGGAACACCGAUGGCGAAGGCAGAUCUCUGGGCCGUAACUGACGCUGAGGAGCGAAAGGGUGGGGAGCAAACAGGCUUAGAUACCCUGGUAGUCCACCCCGUAAACGUUGGGAACUAGUUGUGGGGUCCUUUCCACGGAUUCCGUGACGCAGCUAACGCAUUA